This 257-nucleotide ribosomal RNA is filed under the name uncultured prokaryote. RNAcentral's name for it is "partial 16S ribosomal RNA". It matches the Rfam family "Bacterial small subunit ribosomal RNA", at positions 524 to 776 of the family's 1533-position model. The record is from RNAcentral.
UACAGUGACCUCAAGCGUUAUCCGGAAUCAUUGGGCGUAAAGCGUACCGAUAGGUGGUUGUACAAGUCAGAAGUGAAAUCUCCGAGCUUAACUCGGAAUCUGUCUUUUGAAACUGUACGACUAGAGGGGCAAAGAGGAAGCUAGAACGAACGGUGUAGUAGUGAAAUGCGUUGAUAUCGUUCGGAAUACCGAUAGCGAAGGCAGGCUUCUGGGUGCCACCUGACACUGCUAGGACGAAAGCGUGGGGAGCGAAUGGG